This is a non-coding RNA of Phoenix dactylifera (date palm), 2100 nucleotides long. The record is from RefSeq and is a predicted model, not a curated record. Lineage: Eukaryota; Viridiplantae; Streptophyta; Magnoliopsida; Arecales; Arecaceae.
GAUUUCUUUCCAACAUCCAUGCAAUCUCCCAGCAUCUCAGGAUUCCUCCCAGCUGCAACCAGUUCUUUCCCAACCGUGUCAUUCUUCCUCGGAUUUCCUCCCAGCAGCUUCAUCCUCUCCACGUCUCAGCACCCCACGUAUUAUCUUCAUCUUAUCUUCAUCUUCCGGAUAAGAUCAAAUCCCAGUUCACGGCUCUUCACUCCUUCCCAGCCGAAGGAUUCUUUCAAAGUUCUCCUCCCAGCCAUUACGCUCCACAUCACAGCCGAGUCCCAAGCUUCAACGUCCCAGCUCCCCUGUUCCAGCUUGCAGCCUCAUCCCAAGUUCACAUACCCACUCCUCCCAGCCGUAUCCUUCUUCCGAACCAAGCCAACUUCCCUCCCGGAUGAGAACCAGCAACCACUUCAUCCUGUUCGUGAUAAGCAUCCAGCAUACAUGGGAUAGGUCCUAGGCAUCUGUUCACAGCAUCAAUCUUCUUCCGAAUCCCCUGUUUCCCGCAUCAGUCCGAAUGAACUCCAUCCAUCUUCCGCAAUCCAGCAAGAUAUCCUCCCACCCGCAUCUCAGCCGGAAGCUAUCAUCCCCCAUCAGCCGAGAUCCUCCUAACGUCACAAAAUCUUCUUCCGCAUCCCCUGUACGUGAAGAAGCAUCGGUUCCCCUGCAUCCACAACGUUCCGAUCCUCUCGUGAUGCAUGCAAAAGGUCCCACGUCCAUGAGCAACUUCCUCCGAAUUCCAUUCACGAAUAGAUCCCAGCAUCCUGUGCUUGUCCCGGCCGUCCACGUAGGCUUUCUCCUCAUCCUCUUCUCCGGAUCACACCAGUGAAUCUCCCGAAUCACCUGCGAUCGAGAUCAUCUCCCAGCUCAUUCCUGGCGUUCCAGCUCCCCUGUCCCGAGUGCAUCCUUAUCCAACGCUCGGAUUAAAUCUGCUACGUGUCUCGCCCGUGUCAGUUUCUUGGCUCUUAUCUUCCCACGAUGUGAUGAGAUAACAGGAGCGGGCAGCCUAUAAAAGAGAACCAGAUGCGAAGGGUGGGGGUAUUCCUACUCACCGAAUAAUCAAUCAUCGUGUUCCCAGGUGGAGUUCCCACAGAAGUCCAAAAGGGAGAGGAAACCGACGGGAGGAAGGAGCUAAUCAUCAUGAAGUCCCCUGCAGUGCAACUGUUCAACUCUUCAUGGAAGGCUAAUCUUUUCACUGGGGCUGGAUGCAGCCCUAACAAAGGGCCAAAGGUCCAGUCCUAUAGUUCCCAAGUCAUAUACCGUGGUUUAGUUUCUCCCGCAUCCAAUUGAGUUCAACAUCUCAAGAUUAGUUUCAUCCUCUCCACGUUGCACUAUUUGAACCCAUACCACGACCGUAGAUUAGCAAUCAUCCCAUUCGUGAUCAGCCAGCUCAAUCCCAUCUUCUCCGUGAUCCUCUUCCUCCUUAAAUCCUUCUUCCACGUCAUUGCUUUCCUCCCCUGUUUAAGCUUCGAAACAGAAUGAAUCCAAGCUCCCUUCUUCGGAAUAGAAUCCCAUCGUCCACGGGCAAAUCUCUUCUUCCCAACGUCAUCGUCAACUUCUCAUCCGAACCAGCCAGUGUUCCGGAUUAAUCCCAGGCAUCCGCUCCCAAGCCGUCAGCCAAAUCCAAACUCACCUCAUCUACGGAUUCACUCCAGAUCCCACGCCUAUCCUCUGAGGUCUCCCACGAACAGCACCCCAGCAAAUCUCAGAAUCCCAUCUUCACCUCCCACCCAAUCCUCCGUAGGAUCAACGGGAUAAGCUCACAUUCCAUCCUCUUCCGGCUUGAUCCCAUGGAAUCUCCCAACGUCCAAAGCUCUCUUCCCAGCGAAUCCAACCUUCCAUCAUCCGAACAGAGCUACAUCUUCUUCCGGAUCGAUCUCACAUUCGUAAUCAUCCUUAUCCCUUCCGCGUUCAAAGCCCCAGCUCAUCUCCUCUGUUUCGCAUAUCUCUUUCCUUCCGGAUGAGAACCAGCAUCCCGCCUCCUCCCAUGAUCGGGUGAUCCGCGAUUCAUCUUCAUCCCGUGAGCAACCCAAACCUCCCAGCUAUCAGCCGAGAUCCUCUCAGCUUCAUGGAUCGUAUUCCAUCUCUCAGCCGUGCGCAUCCAUUCCGGGA